AUAUAUAUAUAUAUAUACAUAUAUAAGUAUAUAUUAUUAUAUAUAAAUAUAUUUUUUUUAAUCGCUAAAAAUGGUCGAAGCUAUCAUUAUAAAACACGAGUGUACACAGACAAUCGAAGGAUGUGUUGUCAAAAAAAGUAAAGCCAAAAAAGAACAAACGCAUGUUAAAAAAUCAAAUAAUAAUGAUAAUCAAGUUUUAACACUUAGAAGGUCUCCCAGAUUAAAACAAAAAAAUGAUGGUAAUGAUGAUAGUAAUUUAUAUGAAACUGAUAAAACAAAGGAAGAUGCCAAAGGAGCAGAAGCAAUUAUUUGGAGCUACAUUAAACGUCAACAGUAUGAGAAAAAUAGCAAACUAUGCGGAAUUAACGGUAUCAACAAGGAUGAAUGUGACAGUAGUAGCAUAGAAAAUAUUAGUGAAAUGUUGAGCAUUGACGAUAUAAAAGAGCACAUUAAGAGACUACUAAUACUACUGAAAACGGGAGAAGUUUAUUUAAACGAAUUUUAUGAAAAUUUGUACCAAGGUGAAUUAGAAAAUAAAUAUAUUAUUGAUGACACAGCUAGUAAAAACACAUCACAGUUGCAUGAAGGAAAAACAUACAUUAACAAUAUAUAUAACACUGUAUUACAAAACGUAAAAUAUUCUUCGAAAAUAAUAAACAAUAGGAUUUAUGAAUACAGAGAACAAUAUAAUAAAGAAAAUCAUUCAAUUACCUUUUAUCAAGUUGAUGGCACUAAGCGUUCAUUUACAUUGCCAAAAAAUACAUUUUAUUAUUUUACAACAAAAAAUGAUAAUAUUUUCAGUCCUAGUGAAAUAGUUAGUUACAAAGAGCGAAGUGAUGAAAAAAUAAUAGAAUCUAGUUCUUUUGAAAGUAGUAAUAAGGAUAGCACUUAUAUAUACGCAUUUUGUAACAAUCAUGAAAUGAGCGACGAGAGUAACAGUAACUGUGUAAGUAUAGUAGUUAAAGACACACAGAAGGAAACAAAUAAUAUCACCAAGCUUUCAUUGCAGAAGCAACCUGUACGUACAUUUUAUAAUAAUAAUCAUUUAUUUCUGGUAAGUUUGUUAGAUCAUGAUAAUAAAAAAGGUUGUAACAAAUUGCACUAUUUUACACACUCUAUUUAUAAUAACAACGAUAAAGAACCAAUUCGAUUAAUGUAUAUAUCUCCCAUACAUCCAAUGUAUCCAGAUAUCAUAAUGAAUGAGGAUACGUAUACAAAAUUUUUAAAAUGUAAAUACUAUUAUGAACAAGACAAGUGUUUUAUUUGGACCGAUGAAUCAGUAGCCACAUGCUCACAUUCUAAAGACUGUAGUAGAUUAAAUGAAAUUCCAAAUAUGGAUAUAAUUCAUAUUAAUGAAAACGUGCCUAUAUGUAUUGCUUUUAAUAAUAGAACAGAAACAUAUUUUUUUUUUCAUAUAGUAUAUAAUAUAAAAAAAUAUGAUAAUAGUUUUAAUAAUUUAAAUUCAUACCACAAAAACUUAAAAAUACAUAAUUAUAUUAAGCUGUACCAUUUCUUAUCUAUAAAAAAAAAG
This 1531-nucleotide long non-coding RNA is filed under the name Piliocolobus tephrosceles (Ugandan red Colobus). RNAcentral's name for it is "lncRNA (ENSPTEG00000000159.1)". Lineage: Eukaryota; Metazoa; Chordata; Mammalia; Primates; Cercopithecidae. The record is from RNAcentral.